This 4868-nucleotide long non-coding RNA is filed under the name Sus scrofa (pig). RNAcentral's name for it is "lncRNA (ENSSSCG00000053590.1)". Lineage: Eukaryota; Metazoa; Chordata; Mammalia; Artiodactyla; Suidae. The record is from RNAcentral.
UUGUACAGAUCACUAUGCUGUUUCUAGAUGUGAGUUUAUCUUUAUCCUACACUGUGCUAGGGAUUAUACUUUCAAACUGAAAACUCAGCCAUUGCUCUAUUGACUUCUGCAAGGCCUAUCUGAAGAUAUGUGAUGAAGACUCUUUAAAUUAUCAUUAUGUAGUGAAUUAUCAGGAUCUUUCAUUUCAACAGUUUUCCAAGAGACUGUGGCUAAUCUACUAACAUUUUAUUAAAUAACCACAUUCUUCAUAUUAAAGAGUUCUAAUUUUUUUUUAAUACCACCUGUUCUUUUAUCUUUUCUGCUAAUUUUGUUACACAAUUUCUUGUCUUAGGUUUUCAGUAUUCAUUCACUAUAUAAAUAUUUGCAGAAAAUACUUUGUCACUUAUCCCAUAAAAUUAACUGCAUAAGGAAUAAGAUAUGUUACAUAUAGGUUAAGUAUCUUGCUUAGACUUAUUCUGAUUCGUAAUUUGUGUUGGCUAGGUAGCUUGUUGCAGUUUAUUAUUUAUUAAUUUAUUCAUUGAUUUCUCUUUAAUUGCUUUGUUUACUCAUCUCUUUGAGCUGCUUCCAUCCGUCUCUAUUCAGGGCCUCUGUCCAGGAUCAGAUAUUAUUAAUGACCUCUGGAUCCACUGUCUUUGAAGCCACAGACUUGAUCACUGUUAAGCAUUUCUAUUUCAUUUAUAGAGUAACGGAGAUGUUUGUUUUAUUUUUAUGCAUGGCAUUUUGUUUUGGUUUUCCACUUUUCAAUCUUAUUUCUUGAUGUGUAUUUGAUUCUCCUCAAAGCAUGGACGUGUUUUGCCAUUUUAACUGAAAAUCUUGGUGACUAUGUAAAUGGACUUUUGAGUCCAUUAGACUUCCUUGUCUCUCUUUUUUUUUUUUUUUUUUUUUUUUUUUUACUAAUGUUAUGGGUCUUUGUCUAUGUGCUCAUUACUUUGCUUCACUUUGGGAAAAUUUAGCUGUCAUAAUAUUUUAUAAGUUGCAUGUUUUCAAUAUAUAAAAUUAAUUUCUCGUAAAUUUGGAAUUAUAGUCUUUCAAAUUCUUGAUUUUUUAUGAGGAGAGUAAAGUGAAGAUAUGAUUUAAGGUACCACUUAAAGUAAUAGUAACUAAAGUAAUAUGUGCGAAGGUUACAUAAGAAAUCAAAUUUUACACAGUAGGACAGAGCAUAAUGGAGUGACUGUGCAGAAUACGGAGGAGAACACUGGGCUCUGGGUUGGAAGAUAAGUAUCUACUCUGGGCUUUGCCAGAGGUUAAAAGGAUUGAAAUCUUCUCUAAAGAUUCUUUAAAACCUUUGUUUUCUCAUUUGCAAAAUUAAAGUGUUGGAUUACAGAACUUCUAAGAUUUUUUUUCAGCUUUAAUGUAGAUGAUCCUGACAUUCUAAUUGAUAUUAUACUUCUGAAAUGAUGUCCAAUGUUUGCAAACGGCUUUAAUCAGAGUAGAGGCAAUUUUUAUGGAGGUUAUAAAGGGAAUAGACUCCAAAUGAGGCAUUUGGAUUUAAAAAGAAAAAUAGCUGGCAAUCAUGCACAGGUAGAAAAAUAAAUCAUGACAGAAAAGAAAAUGGUUGUAGUCACACAAUUGUUCAAUUUCCAAAGAAAAGAAUAUUUCAUCUGGGCAACUGAAAAGUACAAGAUUGUGUUUUCAAUUUUCAAGUUUGAAAAUUACUUUAAUCAACUGCUUACUUUUUAUUUUAGCCUUGAACAUAAAAAGAGUGCAUAGAAUUCAAAUAAGCAGAGUGAUAACAUCAGUAUAUAUCAUAGAGUCUUCCUUUCAGUGUCUUGUUUUUUAUGGUUAUAGAGGGAAGUUGACAAAUGUGUACUCACUUUCAGAAAAGGCAAGGGAAAACCACUCCAAGAAUUUAAUUUUCUUCUUACAGAAAUACAAACAUUUUAUGAAUUUAGGGAAUUAUGCAAUGAUUACAAUUUUUGAUAGUUUACUUAGUGUCAAAUCUAUGAUUUAUUUUGUUCUAUAGUUGAAGCCUUGGCAUAGACUCUCUUAAUUUACAGAUAGCAUGUUUUCAAAGGAUAGAGAAGACUCAAAGAUGUUAGCAUGAGGACAACUUAAGGCUGAAACUAAGUGCAAAUCAUGUUUGCAUCUUUAGUACCUAUUGUAAUAUUGUCUCACAUUAGUUAUAUAUUGUUGGCUGAAUUUAUUUUAAAAAGAUUUAAACUCUGAGGAUGCAAAGUGAUUGGGUGUUUCAAUGUUCAUUCAUCUAACAAAACCCACAUAUUAGAGUUUUGCUAGACUUCUUAUAAAUCUAACAGAGGGUCUAGAAUCCCUUAUGUAAAGGUCCUUGGUUUGAUAAUUCAAACUAUUUUAUAUUAUUAAGGGUGAUUUUUGCAUAUACUAUAUUAUCGAUCAGCAUAAAGCAAACCUCUUGAUCAAUACAUAAUUUCUAUAGCAAAAAAAAGUUCACAUUAGUAGUUCAUAUUGGUAUAAACAGCUUCACAUCAGAUAAGGUUUUGCUGCCAAAAUGAGUUUGUGAUAUACUUAAUAAAAACAAAUUUUUUUCAGAGCUUGUGGUUUUGGAAUUGUAGGUAAAGGAUGAUGUACCUACAUUAUAUUAAAAGUACAGAGAACCUGGUGAGCAGAAUACAAAGGUAUGUUUGAAAAGAUCUACUUGAAUUAUACAGAAAUAUAUUGUAAUUCAACAACCCCUGAGAAUAUUAAUGUGUUUAGUUGAUGCAAUCACACACUUGCCAGGUCCUCUGAAGACACAGCAAAAUUGUAAAGAUGACUGUCUAAGUGGAUUUAGUGGAGCAAUAUGUCAGGAAAUGGAUUUUUUAAAAUAUGAGAUUAACAACCCAGAAGGUAACAGACCCAGGACCUUGACUUCUUCAGAAACAGACACUUAGCAACAGAAUCAACAGAAGUAAGAAAAGUGGAUAGAGAUUUUAAAAAAUAGUUUAACUAUUGAUGAGCCAUAAUUAAAAUUCUAGAGCCACUCUGGGUAGUUUAGGUUAUCACAUUGCUCAUGUAUGAAGUCACAUGAGGGCAAAUUCAAAUACAAAGAAAAAGAUGCCUUCAAGAGGAAGAGAAGAGACAUUUUUCUAAGUAAAUAGACAAAUGAAUAAACCUAAAACAAUCAAAUAAAUACAGUUAACACAUUAACUUAACAGAGAGAGUGUUGCUAAACACAUAUACAUAGAGUAAAUUUCUGACAUACAUCCAUUGAGUAUUUUUCUGUAUAUAAUUUAAAAUUUUGCAUCAUGUAGUGGGUCAUGAUAUAAGUAGACUCUCAUUCGAAAUUCAGGGGCAAAAAUGGAAGAUGAGUAAUUGUGCUUAUUAUGGUAGUGAAGCUCUCUGAAGUAGAAUGGUUCAUUUGAGCACAGAAAGACACAACAUCAUAAAUAAAAGCUAUUCUGAAAGCAGAAAUGGUUCCUUGAAGAUAUUCUCUCCUCCCAGUAAGCAGUGUUAUCCGUGUUUAGUAAUAGUAGAUAAUAUACAUGGACAUUGUUUUUGUGUGUCUACAAGUUUUAUGAAUCUACUAUACAGUGUGGUAUUCUUUACCAUCAUUAAAGGAACCAGCAGUGAGCCGUGUGCUAGGGGCUUGAGAUAUUAAUUGGAUGACAUCAGAGGCUGAGCGCUUCUGCCAGUAGUAACAGUGAAGAACCAUGGUCCAGAAGGGGAUGUCACACGUGUCUGAACAGCCAAACUCUGUGAAGGAGCCCUGAGCCCACUUAAAGGACAGUACUUGCCAGUUAGACAACCCUUAGCAAGUCACUGAGUCUUCUGAAUCUUACUGCUCUUUUGAGAUAAUGACCUACUCACAGAUGCCCAAGAGAGCAUCUUGUAAACUGUGAAAAGCAAUAAAGAUAAUAUAAGACAGCAUUGGUCUUACCUUGCUCUGACAGAAUAGCAUGAUGGUUUAGUAUCUCUCAGCCUGGUUCAGGUUUCAGCAUUUUUUCACAACCAGCUUCUGACCACAUACAACUUACUUGAAUGGUUAUGGCCUUGGUAUCUGAAACUAGAAAGCAGAGAAAAUAUGAGUAUUAGCGAGUAUGGUCCAUCAUUAAUGGGACAGUGCAUAUGUCCUGCACAAAGUUCUCAAAAAUGUGACUUUUGAUGAUGAUGGUGAGAAGGUGAGGACUAUGCUGGUGGUGAAGUACCAUCUACGUCCUCAGAACAGUUCAAGCGCAAUCUCAGAAGCAGAUCCGAGAUAAUGCUUUAGCCAGUGAAUUAGGCUAUGCAGGGGGAGAGUCCCUAUAAGUCAUUUGAAUAUGGUUUAUCUAUGUUUUUCUGAAUUAGUUUUAAAUUCUCUAUCUUUGCUCAGGUAAAUUCAUUAUUGUGCACUUAUUCAUCAUGUAAUUACAAAUAGCUAUGUAAUAUAUACUGUGUAGUUAAUUCAUACUUUUAAAAAAUACCACAUACGCCAGUGCUCAUUGUGCCACUAUUUACAGUAUCCAAGACAUGGAAGCAACCUAAAUGUUCAUUGACAGAGGAAUGGAUAAAGAAGAUGUACAUAUAUAUAAUGAAAUACUACUCAACCAUAAAAAGGAAUGAAAUAAUGCCAUUUGCAGCAAAUGCAUGGACCUAGAGAUUAUCACACUAUGUGAAGUAAAUCAGACAGAAAAAGACAAAUGUCACAUGAUAUCACUUGUAAGUGGAAUCUAAUAAAAUAAAACAAAAUAACUUAUUUAUAAAGCAGAAGCAGGGAGUUCCUGCUGUGGUGCAGCAGAAACAAAUCUGACUAGGAACCAUGAGGUUGCAGGUUUGAUCCUUGGCCUCACUCAGUGGGUUAAGGAUCCUGUGUUGCCUUGAGCUGUGGCAUAGGUCACAGACCUGGCUCAGAUCUGAUAUUGUUGUGGUGUAGGCCGGCAUCUAAGCUCCGACUGGACUCCUAGCCUGGGAACCUCCAUAUGCUGCGGGUGUGGCUC